This 839-nucleotide ribosomal RNA is filed under the name uncultured fungus. RNAcentral's name for it is "eukaryotic LSU rRNA". The stretch from base 1 to 242 matches the Rfam family "Eukaryotic small subunit ribosomal RNA", at positions 1593 to 1831 of the family's 1831-position model. Lineage: Eukaryota; Fungi. The record is from RNAcentral.
UUGCUCUUCAACGAGGAAUUCCUAGUAAGCGCAAGUCAUCAGCUUGCGUUGAUUACGUCCCUGCCCUUUGUACACACCGCCCGUCGCUACUACCGAUUGAAUGGUUAUAGUGAGCAUAUGGGAUCAGUAGGAUUUGACUGGCAACAGUCAUUUCCUGCAGAGAACUAUGGCAAACUAGGCUAUUUAGAGGAAGUAAAAGUCGUAACAAGGUUUCCGUAGGUGAACCUGCGGAAGGAUCAUUAAUUAUGUUAAAGCGCCUUACCUUAGGGUUUCCUCUGGGGUAAGUGAUUGCUUCUACACUGUGAAAAUUUGGCUGAGAGACUCAGACUGGUCAUGGGUAGACCUAUCUGGGGUUUGAUCGAUGCCACUCCUGGUUUCAGGAGCACCCUUCAUAAUAAACCUAGAAAUUCAGUAUUAUAAAGUUUAAUAAAAAACAACUUUUAACAAUGGAUCUCUUGGUUCUCGCAUCGAUGAAGAACGUAGCAAAGUGCGAUAACUAGUGUGAAUUGCAUAUUCAGUGAAUCAUCGAGUCUUUGAACGCAGCUUGCACUCUAUGGUUUUUCUAUAGAGUACGCCUGCUUCAGUAUCAUCACAAACCCACACAUAACAUUUGUUUAUGUGGUGAUGGGUCGCAUCGCUGUUUUAUUACAGUGAGCACCUAAAAUGUGUGUGAUUUUCUGUCUGGCUUGCUAGGCAGGAAUAUUACGCUGGUCUCAGGAUCUUUUUUUUUGGUUCGCCCAGGAAGUAAAGUACAAGAGUAUAAUCCAGUAACUUUCAAACUAUGAUCUGAAGUCAGGUGGGAUUACCCGCUGAACUUAAGCAUAUCAAUAAGCGGAGGA